RNAcentral lists this ribosomal RNA (564 nucleotides) under uncultured bacterium. RNAcentral describes it as "partial 16S ribosomal RNA". It matches the Rfam family "Bacterial small subunit ribosomal RNA", at positions 355 to 902 of the family's 1533-position model. The record is from RNAcentral.
UGGGGAAUAUUGCACAAUGGGCGCAAGCCUGAUGCAGCCAUGCCGCGUGUGUGAAGAAGGCCUUCGGGUUGUAAAGCACUUUCAGCGAGGAGGAAGGUGGUGAACUUAAUACGUUCAUCAAUUGACGUUACUCGCAGAAGAAGCACCGGCUAACUCCGUGCCAGCAGCCGCGGUAAUACGGAGGGUGCAAGCGUUAAUCGGAAUUACUGGGCGUAAAGCGCACGCAGGCGGUUUGUUAAGUCAGAUGUGGAAUCCCCGGGCUCAACCUGGGAACUGCAUUUGAAAACUGGCAAGCUAGAGUCUCGUAGAGGGGGGUAGAAAUUCCAGGUGUAGCGGUGAAAUGCGGUAGAGAUCUGGAGGAAUACCGGUGGCGAAAGGCGGCCCCCUGGACGAAGACUGACGCUCAGGUGCGAAAAGCGUGGGGAGCAAAACAGGAUUAGAUACCCUGGUAGUCCACGCUGUAAAACGAUGUCGAUUUUGGAGGUUGUGCCCUUGAGGCGUGGCUUCCGGAGCUAACGCGUUAAAUCGACCGCCUGGGGAGUACGGCCGCAAGGUUAAAAACUC